RNAcentral lists this ribosomal RNA (253 nucleotides) under uncultured bacterium. RNAcentral describes it as "partial 16S ribosomal RNA". It matches the Rfam family "Bacterial small subunit ribosomal RNA", at positions 524 to 776 of the family's 1533-position model. The record is from RNAcentral.
UACAGAGGGUGCAAGCGUUAAUCGGAAUUACUGGGCGUAAAGCGUGCGUAGACGGUUGCGUAAGUCAGAUGUGAAAGCCCCGGGCUCAACCUGGGAAUUGCAUUUGAGACUGCGUAGCUAGGGUGCGGCAGAGGGAAGCGGAAUUUCCGGUGUAGCGGUGAAAUGCGUAGAUAUCGGAAGGAACACCAGUGGCGAAGGCGGCUUCCUGGUCCAGCGCUGACGUUCAGGCACGAAAGCGUGGGGAGCAAACAGG